This is a long non-coding RNA of Hibiscus syriacus, 161 nucleotides long. RefSeq lists it as uncharacterized. The transcript has 3 exons. The record is from RefSeq and is a predicted model, not a curated record. NCBI's taxonomy places the organism in Eukaryota, Viridiplantae, Streptophyta, Magnoliopsida, Malvales, Malvaceae.
UCUCCGCCGUUCAAAAAUUUGAACCGAUCUUUGUACUCGUGUUUCACCUGAGCAAGGAUCAAUUAGGUCCGGUGUUAUCCAUUCGUCAGAUCAGUCUGAACCGCGUAAUACGAGAAUUACCCGGUCUAGCGCUGCAGCAGAACGUGAUCGACAUACCCAGU